UCGCAGUGGGGUUUAGUCCCUAAAGAGA
This 28-nucleotide small RNA is filed under the name Bombyx mori (domestic silkworm). RNAcentral describes it as "ovarian small RNA-28608". Lineage: Eukaryota; Metazoa; Arthropoda; Insecta; Lepidoptera; Bombycidae. The record is from RNAcentral.